This 460-nucleotide ribosomal RNA is filed under the name uncultured bacterium. RNAcentral describes it as "partial 16S ribosomal RNA". It matches the Rfam family "Bacterial small subunit ribosomal RNA", at positions 338 to 795 of the family's 1533-position model. The record is from RNAcentral.
CCUACGGGUGGCAGCAGUGAGGAAUAUUGGUCAAUGGCCGAGAGGCUGAACCAGCCAAGUCGCGUGAGGGAAGAAUGUCCUAUGGAUUGUAAACCUCUUUUGUCAGGGAGCAAAGUCACCCACGUGUGGGUGUUGGAGAGUACCUGUAGAAAAAGCAUCGGCUAACUCCGUGCCAGCAGCCGCGGUAAUACGGAGGAUCCAAGCGUUAUCCGGAUUUAUUGGGUUUAAAGGGUGCGUAGGCGGAUUGAUAAGUUAGAGGUGAAAUGUCCGAGCUUAACUCGGGAACUGCCUCUAAUACUGUUGAGCUAGAGUGUAGAUGCGGUAGGCGGAAUGUAUGGUGUAGCGGUGAAAUGCUUAGAGAUCAUACAGAACACCGAUUGCGAAGGCAGCCUACUAAUCUAUAUCUGACGUUGAGGCACGAAAGCGUGGGGAGCAAACAGGAUUAGAUACCCUUGUAGUC